UUGGAUUCCACGGUUGCCAUA
Molecule: non-coding RNA, 21 nt
Filed under: Arabidopsis thaliana (thale cress)
Lineage: Eukaryota; Viridiplantae; Streptophyta; Magnoliopsida; Brassicales; Brassicaceae
Source: RNAcentral